GCCACAGUAGCUCAGCUGGUAGAGCAGUCGAUUCGUAAUCGACCGGUCACGAGUUCAAAUCUCGUCUGUGGCUCAA
This 76-nucleotide transfer RNA is filed under the name Anaerolineae bacterium. RNAcentral's name for it is "tRNA-Thr". It matches the Rfam family "tRNA". From Rfam's summary of the family: Transfer RNA (tRNA) molecules are approximately 80 nucleotides in length. Their secondary structure includes four short double-helical elements and three loops (D, anti-codon, and T loops). Further hydrogen bonds mediate the characteristic L-shaped molecular structure. tRNAs have two regions of fundamental functional importance: the anti-codon, which is responsible for specific mRNA codon recognition, and the 3' end, to which the tRNAs corresponding amino acid is attached (by aminoacyl-tRNA synthetases). tRNAs cope with the degeneracy of the genetic code in two manners: having more than one tRNA (with a specific anti-codon) for a particular amino acid; and 'wobble' base-pairing, i.e. permitting non-standard base-pairing at the 3rd anti-codon position. Lineage: Bacteria; Bacillati; Chloroflexota; Anaerolineae. RNAcentral also lists the same sequence under 2 other names. The record is from RNAcentral.